Molecule: ribosomal RNA, 1449 nt
Filed under: Triticum aestivum (bread wheat)
Lineage: Eukaryota; Viridiplantae; Streptophyta; Magnoliopsida; Poales; Poaceae
Description: partial small subunit ribosomal RNA
Source: RNAcentral
AUGCAAGCACACUCAUGCACAGCCGCGCGCACACACACACUUUAUGUGCUACGGGCCAGGCCAGGCCGUUUAUGUGCUUCGGGCCAGGCCGGGCUUGGGAUUUUUGCUUCUGGCUUUGCCAAGCCUGGCCGGAACCCCGACCCGGUAGCAAUGGCCUCUGCGCAUCCCAAUCGACCCAGACCCCCCGCCAUGCUUCUACUAUUGGCGUUGCUGCAGUUCUCUUUGGGUGCUAGCAAAAUCAAUUGCGCAACGCCCCCUGAUAACAGCACGGAUGUGCUCUGGCUGCAAGCUUUCAAGCAUGGGAUUACUUCUGAUCCCUCCGGAUGGUUCAGCUCUUGGAACUCCAGCGCCAACCACUGCAUGUGCAGCUCCUCCAUAGGGAACCUUACGUUCCUCAGAACCCUGAACCUGUCCAAAAAUAGCUUCUCUGGCCGGUUACCUCCACUGAACCAUCUGCAAAAGAUUCAGGUCCUUGACCUAAGCAGUAACCGGUUGCAUGAUAGUAUCCCAGAUGCAAUUACCAACUGUUCCAGCUUAAGGAAAAUACGCCUCACUACGAACUUCCUAGCAGGUGAAAUUCCUCCAAAAGUAGGCCUCCUCUCCAACCUCAUACUUUUAGGACUAUCUGAUAAUGAUCUCACCGGAACAAUCCCGCCAAUCCUCGGCAAUAUCACAAGCAUGCAAAGACUUGGCGUUUCGUACAAUAAUCUGACUGGACGUAUCCCCGAUGAGCUUGGGAAACUGACAAAUAUGUGGAGGUUGCUCCUAGGAGGAAAUAGCUUGUCAGGUGGAUUCCCACGGUGUCUCUUCAACCUUUCUAAUUCUCUUCAAAUAUUAGGCUUGGAGUCGAAUAUGCUAAGCAAGGAACUGCCUCCUAACAUGGGAGACGACCUACCAAAUCUCCAAAUGCUUUCUUUGCAUGACAACAUGUUUGAAGGUCAAAUUCCGGCUUCACUAGGCAAUGCUACAUGGCUGGAAGAGUUUGCAUUAGGAAAUAACAAUUUAACAGGUACGGUUGGAGAAUGGAUUGGGAAGCUAACACAGUUAAGAGUUCUUUUCCUCUAUGCGAACAGCUUCAUUGGGCCAUUGCCAUCAUCCCUUGGCCAGCUUGCUCAGUUGGAAGAGCUCAAUCUAGGAAAUAACAAUUUAACAGGCCCUAUACCACCCCUUGGUCAGCUUACUCAGUUGGAAGAGCUCAGUCUAGCAAACAAUAAAUUUGAAGGCCCUAUACCACUCCUUGACCAGCUUACUCAGUUGACUUACCUCAAUCUAGGAAACAAUAAAUUUGGAGGAUCUAUACCACCCACCUUAGGGAACUUGCAACAACUCUCGUAUUUAGACCUUAGCCAGAACAAUCUUGAGGGUAACAUACCUAUUCAGCUUAGCAGCCUUACAUCACUUUACAAACUAAACCUUUCGUCAAACAAGCUUACUGGGAAAAUUUCCUGA